AGUGUUUCAAACACGACCUGCUCUGCCUAAGUACACAAGCAUCUGCGAUGUUAUAGUUAUAUUGACAUUUUUGUCCGAACUUCUUGGUGACCGUAACACAAUGCAACAUCAUUUAUACCACGUGAUCGCUAGCGCCGAAAGGCGAAUCAUAUUUCAAGAUUUCAAAUUAACACGGGAGGAUAACUUUGAUCAACGUCAAAAGCUGAAAACAUUUUAUUCUCAAAUCUACAUUCUCUUUUGAUUUCUUUUGCGGGGUCAAAACUCGAUCGCAAAAAAGGCUUUUGCAAAAUCAUAAAUAUCAGCCAGAAGCAGUAUGUUUCGCUUUCGAUUUCUGAGAAUCAUGACAGCGAGGACGAGUACAUAUCAUGAUGGCAAAGUUAACUCCGGCUUGGAAGCACAGGGAUUCAAGAUUACUGGUAUCGAGUUUUAAAAUAUAAACACUGUAAAUACGAAAAUUCUGUAAAAUAUUCUAUUCUAAUAUCAGUCCGCCAGUUAAGCUACAAAGAGUACUUGGUUCUUGGAAGAUUACGCAGCGAAACGAAGCUCUGCUUGGAAUUAUGCCUUAUACAUUUUCGCAAUGAUAUUGAGAAAAGAAUAAAAUUACAACAUGAAGAUGUCCAGGCUCCUUCGCGGAAUUCUUUGCGUGUUGAUGUUCCUUUCCAUGCAGUCUCAAGAUGCUGAUGCUGGUCCGAUUAGUUUUUGUGUCUGCAUUUCUUUAUGUACCACGAACUGGGUUGCCUGUUGCGCCGCUGUUGGAGGAACUGCUGGUGUGACCACUGGUGGAGUUGGUGUCCCGGCAGCCAUCGUGGCCUGCAAUGCGAUACAAGCAGCUUGCACGGGGGCCUGCGGAGCAGCUGGAUUGACUCCAAUACCUUGAGACAGUACAAGGCAUGAAAAACCAUCCGUCCUCUUGGGAGGUCCUACCUUUUUUUAGUGUAGUCAAUUUGACUUAAUCGUUUUGACUAGUUACAACUUAAUAUUGCAUUUAAUGUAUUGAUAAAGCUGGAUUGAGUACUUCACUCACCUUAGUUUGUUCUACUUUUGAUCACCUUGGUUGCACUAAGCUUUUUAGUAGGAGAAACAACUUUGAAAAACUUCAACGAUGUAUGCAAAAUAAUGCUUAUUUGUUAAAAGAUUUUUGUGAACUUUGAAUUUAAGCUAGCUUUUGUCGUCUUUAUUGAUCUUGUAAAGCAAAAUAUGGAAAUUUAAUAAAUGUUUUAACAAACUAA
This is a long non-coding RNA of Actinia tenebrosa (Australian red waratah sea anemone), 1229 nucleotides long. The record is from RefSeq and is a predicted model, not a curated record. Lineage: Eukaryota; Metazoa; Cnidaria; Anthozoa; Actiniaria; Actiniidae.